Aspergillus novofumigatus IBT 16806 is the source of this 160-nucleotide non-coding RNA. The record is from the annotation of a RefSeq genome assembly. NCBI's taxonomy places the organism in Eukaryota, Fungi, Ascomycota, Eurotiomycetes, Eurotiales, Aspergillaceae.
GGCAAAGUGGCCGAGUGGUCUAAGGCGACAGACUGUGAGCUAUGCCCGGUCCUCCGCUUCUAUUACCAGUAUACUAAUCCAAAAAAGUGAAUUGUGUCGAUCUCAGACUACAAUACAUCUGUUCUCUUCGGAGGCGCAGGUUCGAACCCUGCCUUUGUCG